GUUUAUCAUACAAUAAGUAAAAAGGAGAUAUGAGCAUCAGUUAGGCCAUCCACGUCCUUCAAUUUAGUCAGCCAAUCAUGAGGUUUUCUAACGCCACGUCACUUCCUCUAUUAAUCGAGAGUAUAUAACAAUGGGUCAACUUAUGUGGGCUACAAUUCUAUGUUAAAUGGUCCAUCGUUAAUGAGCACAAAAGAACUCAAAUCCUGUCACCGUCGUCCCGACUCUUCCACUUCAUCUGAAUCGAUUCGACUAGCUGCAAAUUUCAGUUCUCUGUAUUAAUCAGCAGAUUCACCAUCCACUCCUACCCAUCAAAUAAAAUUCUUGAAUCAUAUCUUUAAUUUAUUCCUUACCCAAUUCAUUUUUUUUUAAAAUCAAUGGAUUAGCGACGCAACCAAAAGCGUACCCCUCCGCUCCGCUGAUCCCGAUACUGGUAACGACGGCUGAGCCACAAAGACAGCUCAAUCAGGUUCAAAAUUGGAUCAACGUGCUUGAUUUUUUUGUUUCAUUCGACAGAUAAGUUUUCAGCUCUCAAAUCAUUGUACAAAGUUAAGCCAAAAAAUAAUUCUUAUUUGAAAGUUACGAUCUUUGCAAAAUUAAUCUUUUAUUGAUCUGCUUCUUCUACUUCUUCUGUGUAGGCUGGUUCUGAAAUAUUAGACAUACAAUUGCAUGAGCUGGCAUCUCCACAUGACGCUCAAGGGAAGAAAGUCAAUCAACAGAACCCAAAUCAACAGAGAUCACCAGAUGAUGCUGAAAGGGAAGCUAGACAAAUGGUUCUUAGUCAAAUAUUGUUUUUCCACUCUCUCGAGAGAAGAGUUAUAUGCCUAGAGGAUGUUAUUCUGAGGGCUGCUCAAAUGGAACAGAUAGUUGAGAAGGUUUGUGAGGAGCGGAUUAAUACUGGAGUUUCAAAGAUUUCCGUUAAUUUUUACGAGCAGUUUCAUUUUUUCAAUGGUUGGAAGUUGACGGAUACUAUUUGUUUUACUUCAAAACAGUUCACACCAAUGAGAAUUUCAGGUAAAACAUUUGAGUUUUGUUAGUUAUGCAAAUUGGAAUUAGCAUAAACAAUGUUCAAAGUUUUUACUUUUUCGUAGUAGAGAAUUACGUUUUCACAGUUCAAGCUGAUGAAUUUUUAAUCAAGAAACCAUCAAACUGAAGAAGCAAGAUUUUGUUUUAUUUCUUAAAUAUUGUGUGCUAGUUUAUAGAUUGUUGCAGAAGAGCCAACUUCACUUCUUCACACAUGAGAGAAUCUGAUUUCAGUGGUUCAACCCUCAAUGGCACCUAUUUUGAGAAAUCAGUUGCAUACAAAGCUAACUUCGCAGAGUUUGAGCAUUUGAGACCUUGACGAUGUCUAUCUUCUAUUCUACGAAACAUUCUCUUAGAACUUCCCCCUGCUAAACACUUGACUGGCUUCUCAGAGAUUUUGUUUUCAAACUAGAGGUUUUAGCAACAAGAAUCUGUGAUUUAUGGGUUUACUUCCAUCUGUGUCAAUCUUUAUGAGCUGGCACAGCCAGGGAGUCUUCAUCCUAAACCGUUGGCAUCUCCAGUGUCACUCUUAAAAUCAGGGUAGGAGGCCCUCCACUGCCGAGAAAAUAUAUGAUCAAGAAAGCACAUUCUGUCGCUCCUGAAAUGUUGUGGAUGGUCUUGGUACCGUUGCCUCAGUAAAUUAAUAAAAGCAUCCAUUUUCUGCAUAUAAAACAAUACAAGUCAGAAAACUUACAGACGACUUACAGACAACUUACAGACGAC
This is a long non-coding RNA of Brassica napus (rape), 1743 nucleotides long. RefSeq lists it as uncharacterized. The record is from RefSeq and is a predicted model, not a curated record. Lineage: Eukaryota; Viridiplantae; Streptophyta; Magnoliopsida; Brassicales; Brassicaceae. The transcript is spliced from 6 exons.